GCCUCCGUAGCUCAGGGGAUAGAGCGUCUGCCUCCGGAGCAGAAGGCCGCAGGUUCGAAUCCUGCCGGGGGCACGA
Molecule: transfer RNA, 76 nt
Filed under: Micrococcus luteus
Lineage: Bacteria; Bacillati; Actinomycetota; Actinomycetes; Micrococcales; Micrococcaceae
Also listed under: 16 other names
Description: tRNA-Arg
Rfam family: tRNA
About the family: Transfer RNA (tRNA) molecules are approximately 80 nucleotides in length. Their secondary structure includes four short double-helical elements and three loops (D, anti-codon, and T loops).
Source: RNAcentral